Long non-coding RNA from Peromyscus leucopus (white-footed mouse), 2079 nucleotides. RefSeq lists it as uncharacterized. NCBI's taxonomy places the organism in Eukaryota, Metazoa, Chordata, Mammalia, Rodentia, Cricetidae. The transcript has 7 exons. The record is from RefSeq and is a predicted model, not a curated record.
AAACCUGUUACUUUGAAUGUUAAUUUAAAAAGCAAAGAGGAGAGUUCAGGGUGUGGGCUCUGAUUGGCUGGUUUGCAUGUGGAUGAAGCGCCCUCCUACUAGCUGUUUGCUCUGCAGGGGUUUUUGGCUGUCUAAUUCUGGGAGGGGCUGACCCUCCAGGCUAGCUUGGCCUCACAUGUCUCUUUCAGGCCAUGUAGGCCUGGAAUGCUGGGUUCAGAGCAGGGGACGUGAACCAACACAGAAUUAAAUACCUACAGUACAAGACUGGGCCUGUUAACAUUCCAUUGUGGGUGUGGGCUCACAAGCCCCACCCCCCACCAGGACCCUCUGGCAGUUAACUGUAGAUGGGAUAGAAGGGCUCAUGUGUCUCCACCUCUUCCUGAGGAUCUAUAGACAGUUGAUGCUGGCUGGGGAAGGAGAGACAGUUUCGUCACUGGUAUAGCCCCUGGUAGUAUCCAUGGAAAGCUUUGAGCAGAAGAGUAAGGUUACUUGCAUCUCUCUGGCUGCUCAGCUACAGAAGCUCAGGGGCUGUGCUGCAUAGCAAAGGGCCAGAACCUGGAGAACCAGAUGGAAUUUGGGUGUGGUAACAACACCACAGCAUUGCAACCUGGGACCGUAACAAACAAGCAAGCAACCAUCCCUGUGCCUCAGUUUCCCCAUUUAUGAGCUGGAAGUGUCCUAGGGUUACAGGCACCUGUCACUGUGUCCAGCUUUUUACAUGGGUGAUGGAGAUCCUGAACUAUGCCAUCAAGCUUGUUCAGCAAGUGCUUUGUCAACUGAGCCACCUUCCCACCUCCUCCCUGCCUUGCUGAGAGCCACCUUCUGCAGGAAAUUUACUUGGGCACAUAAAACUGUGAUUCCUGCUGUCUUCCACUGUCCUGCUGCAGAAUUGUCACUCAUUACUACUUUUUGAAGGUGACUUCCUUGUUAAAACAUCACAGCAAUUGGGUUUUAGAAACUGUGAUGUAUUGUGUAUAAGGUAAAAUCCAGGAGAACAGAAAUUUUAUAUAUUCUUACUCAUCAUUGCUUAGUGGCCCAGAGGACCCAUGGAUCCUGGAUCAUAAUAGAUCACUAAAUAGCAAGACCAGUGGCUAACCUGCAAGCACCGAACUUCAUCUUCACAUGCCCAUUUUCUGGGGAGAGGCCUGGACCAGCUCAUUGCCUAGCUGAAAAUUAGCCCACAUCCCGUUCCUCAUUUUGAUGACAGAAUCCUCCACACUCAGUUCCCUCCCCUGUGAAUAAUUUGUCAAGAAUAAGACAAUAAGCUGUGUUGUGUACCUUUGGUUGUGCAAAUGCAUGACCCAUUCAUUUUAUUAAAAAUAAAAUUUAGAACAGAAUUUGUUUUUAAAACCAGACCAGUUAUCACAGGAAAUAUUCCAGAAGAAAACUAAGGAGGUUCUCAUUUGCCCCAGAGCAGUGAGUUCACCAUGACCUUAUUCUUGGGUCACUGGACAGAGAGUUCUCAGGAGCUGAGUUUACCUGUUUUUAUUUUGAGAAGAGAAAAUGUCUUGAAUAUUUAUUGGAGAUGGAAUUAGGAGUGACCUUGGUGUCACCAGAUGGAAGUCAAAUGUAUUAAUGAGGGCUAUCCACAUCAGAGUUCUGUCUGUUAAUGCUGUCUGUUUUAUUUUAAUGAAAGUUGGAGUGAGAACCCAUCUUUAAAGAGAAUAGCUACCUUGGCUGUCCAUUUUCUAAAAGAAUAAAUGAACCGUCUUUGACUCAUUCGGUAGGAUUAGGGGCAUAACCGCUGCCUGGAGAGUGGCCAAAGGUGAUUCAGAGCAGGCUACCCCUGGGGUGAUUUGGCAGGCUCCACAUACCAAUGAUAAACUAAUUUCCUCACAUGCCUAAAUUGCUGUAAUGAAAUCUGGGCGUGGCCCCCUGGCUUUGGGUGGUGUGUAUACAGAUGCAGGAGAUGUGGGUGUGGCCCCUUGGCUUUGCAUGGCUUGUCUGCAGCUGUCUUAGUCAUAGUUUGGUUCUCUUAUUUAAUCUAUUGGUGUUGUUUUUUAGUCUUCUCAGAUAGUUUUCUAGUUUUUUUUACCAUGGUAAACCUGAUAUAUGAGAAAUCAUGAGUCCAGAACAAUU